RNAcentral lists this long non-coding RNA (3658 nucleotides) under Cricetulus griseus (Chinese hamster). Its description in RNAcentral is "lncRNA (ENSCGRG00015042848.1)". Lineage: Eukaryota; Metazoa; Chordata; Mammalia; Rodentia; Cricetidae. The record is from RNAcentral.
GGAGAAACAGGAAGGGCUCUCUUUUCCUCUCCGCUCCUGUUCCAGCAGCACGAUGUGAUCCACCGGCAAGGAGGGACGCCAAUAAGGCAUCCAAUAAGAUAAGUCUUAUAAAAUAUAUAGGUUUAUGAUAGUUAAGACUGAGCAAACAGAUGAGAAUCCUAGUCAUUGGCCAAGCAGCAUUGUACCUAAUACAAGUUUCUGUGUAUUCAUUUGGGCCUAACUCGGGUGGGCGGCUGCCAUAAAGCUCACAUGUGACGGUGGGGCUCAGGCGGCUUUUGGCAGAAAGAUUUAUCGUAACAAGAGACAGGAGCAGAAAGAGAGGGGAGCAGAGAGAGCAGAAAGAACAGUAAGAGCACAUAAGUGGGCAUGGGUCUGUCUUAUAAAGGGGUCCUUUACACCUGUGUGCAGACAAGUAUUCAUGGAACCCUGGGCUGACCAGAGUACUGCCUGAGUGCAUUCCACCAGGUGACUGGGGCAGGCCAGCAUAAUGCCUGAAUCCUUACACUCAUGGUUUGCCAUGAGGCUGAACUCAUCAUUGUCAGUGUUAACCCUUCCUUCCUGGAAACAAGGAUUCCCCUUUCCCUAGAGGGGUCACUCUCUCCAUUUGGAGAGUCUCUUCUAUUGGUGGAUAAACAUGCAUUAAAAUCAUUCAUGUUUUAAGAAAAAGCUCCCUAAUGCCACAGUCAUGUCUGGCCACCAUUCUGCUUCUUGGCAUCACCCAGCAAGAGCUGCCUACCAUGGUCCAAUUUCCCCAGGUCUCAUCUAUCCACAGCCCCACACUCUUGCACACACGUUAUCCAUGUCACCACUUCUGUGCAACUUUCCUGAGGUAAAAGCCCAUUGACCUUUCCUUUCUCCACGUCCCAGCAGCAUUUAGCAUGCCUGACUUCUCUAGCCUGAUGGAAUCUAUUAACCAGUCACUUGGGGCUCCUCCCAUCUCUCCUCUUGCAGAGGAGAAAAUGAUCCCGCAAUGUAUAGGGCCACAGAGCAGCAGUUGCCGCCCUUUGCGGGACAUGGAGACACUGACCUUACCUCCAUGAGAAGAGACUGCUUUGUACAUGCUCUUGACCCUCACACCUCUUCCUAUCACAAGCAGGCAGAGCAAGUAAAGAAAAGGAGAGAGGAGGCACCUGCAUUGUUACAAGUUUUACAGACUCCCUGCAAUGUCUGCAGGGAGUGGUUUAUAGUCACUACCCACUCAUCUCAUUUCACUCCCAAGUACCCAGUUUUACCAUCUAAACUGUGGAAAGAAAUACAACUUAAUGUAACAAUAAUGUUCACUUGCUAACAGGAGUCAGGAAUGCAGAAAUGAAGAAAAAUUGUCCCUAAAGUUUUUAGUUAUAGAUGAUAGGCAAACCUUGUAAAUUUGAUGGCAGGCCGUGCAAACAAUAGGUCUGCUUUCUUAUUUUAGUGUUGAAACCACAACAAGCCAGUAAACACUCAUUUCAUCUCAAGUCUUGUUGUGGGGCAGAUUUAUCAUCCAUACAACAAACCUAAUUCCAGUAACUGAUGGAAGCAGAUGCAGUGAUUCACAGCCAAGCAGUGGGCUGAGCUCCUAGAGUUCAGCUGAAGAGAGGGAGGAACAUAAGAACAAGGGGGUCAAAAGCACAAUGGGGAAAACCACAGAGACAGUUGACUCAAGCUAGAGGGAGCUCACAGCUAUCGACUGACAGCUGGGGAACCUGCAUGGGACCAAACUAGAACCUCUGAAUGUGGGUGACAGUUAUGUGACUUGAUUUGUUGGACAUGAACUGGCUUUUUGGAGCCCACUCCCUAUGGUGGGAUAUCUUGCUCAACCUUGAUUCAGGGGGGAAGGGGCUUGUUACCUCAACUUUAGUAUGCCAGACUUUAGUAUGUUGACUCCCCAAGGAAGGCCUUACCCUCUCUGAGGAGUGGAGUUGAAGAAGGUUGGGAAGUGGGGGGGGGGUCAGAAGGGGAGGGAAGGAGAACUAGGGUUGGUAUGUAAAAUGAAAAAUAAUUUUUAAAUAAAAAAGAAGUAUCCCCCACCAAAAAAAGAUAUUUUAUUUAUAUGAGUUUUGCCUGUAUGUAUUUAUGUGUACCACAUGUGGACGGAAGAGGACAUCAGAUCUCCUGGAACUGGAGUUAGAGAUAGUCAUGAGCCCCAGUGUGGGUGCUGGAAACUGAACCUGGACCCUCUGUAAGAAUAACCAGUACUCAUAUUUACACUGGUCAGGCUAAAGAUGGAGCAUAGUCAAUUUUAAGGUCAGACUGGCUACACAAUGAGACCUUAUCUCAAAACAACAAAAACACAUCCCCGGACUUAGUAUUUCUCAUUCUUUGCUAUCACGUGGUAAGAUUUUCACAACCUUGGAAGUAUUAUCUUAUAUAUUAGAUCCCUGGGCUCUAUGAGAACUAAAAAAUGGCAGGGCAGACAGUCUAAACAAGAGGCUGGUUGAUGUCGAAGCUACAGAUGACUAUCACAACUUCAAAAUGUGCCAUCAACACUGACUAGCUCCUAGUGAAAUCUAGAAACCCAAUGUUAGCUACAGCCAUUUUCUAGCAAUAUGUUGACUAGCUAGCUGAAUGUCCCCUAAAGAACAAAACUACUAACUCGAAUAUAUUAACUCCCCUACUUAUAUGUUGCCAUAAACCCAAAAUGAUAAUGCUUGGCUUCCCUUUGUAUUUCGACUUAGCUAUUCUUAUUUUAAAAGAUGGAUGUUUUAGCAUUUGAUGAGUAUAAAAUUUCCAUUGUGGAAAAAAAAAAGUCAAGAAUACAAUGGGAAGGAAACAAACAUUACAAAGCCAGAGAAUUAGAAAGGACUUACCACAGUUAAUAUUAAGUCUGGUAUAAAGUAACCAAAUAACUAAAUACAAUAAGGGAAGGGGAGAGAAGGAGGUAUACUAUUUACAUUCCUAAAGUUUCCACACAAUUUACCCUGGAAAGGGGCAACAAAGAAUACCUUAAGUAAGAAAUGUUAAUAUAGCCAGGCAUGGUUAGUGCACACCUUUAAUCCCAGCUCUCUAGGAAGCAAGUUGGUCUCUGAGUACGGGGCCUUUCAGGACUAUAUUGAGACCCUGUCUCAAAAAGAAGAGCUGGGCAUGGAGGUGCUCUCCUUAAUCUCAACACCCUGAUCUCUGAGUUCAAGUCCAGCCUGGUCUACACAGAGAGUUCAAGGACAGCAAGGGCUAUGUAGAGAGAUUCUGUCUUAACACUGCCACCCCAAAUGUUAAUAGUGUCAGAUAACAUACAUGGACCACCAGUAACAUUCCUCAAGUUCCAAAGCCCCACUGGACAGGGAGCUUUACCUAGUUUUCCUUCCACACAGCAAGGAACAGUACUUAAUAGACCCCUACCCUUCCUUUCACACUCCACUUUCAUUCACUAAAUUCUACAUGUAAAUUCAGCAUUUGUAGGUCUAUAUACUGAAGAAGUGACAGUCUAUAAUAAUUAAGUUAUUCUUGAUAUUAGAAGCCAAAAUACUUGGACUGAUGAUGUAGCUCAAUGGUCAAAUGGUUGUCCCAGUUCUGAUCUUCAAAAACCCAGAAAAAUUUAAAACGUGAAGUAAUGGUAAAAAUAAUUAUAGUAUACAUAGUAAUAAACAGUACCAUACAUCUCAUUAAAGUUUGGUUAUCAGUUUAAAUUUUUUCACUUGGAUAUAGUAGUUCAAAUUUGUUAUACAUAGGAAAAGCAUUAACC